AUUGAACGCUGGCGGCAGGCUUAACACAUGCAAGUCGAGCGGGGUGAUGGUGCUUGCACUAUCACUUAGCGGCGGACGGGUGAGUAAUGCUUAGGAAUCUGCCUAUUAGUGGGGGACAACAUCUCGAAAGGGAUGCUAAUACCGCAUACGUCCUGCGGGAGAAAGCAGGGGAUCACUUGUGACCUUGCGCUAAUAGAUGAGCCUAAGUCGGAUUAGCUAGUUGGUGGGGUAAAGGCCUACCAAGGCGACGAUCUGUAGCGGGUCUGAGAGGAUGAUCCGCCACACUGGGACUGAGACACGGCCCAGACUCCUACGGGAGGCAGCAGUGGGGAAUAUUGGACAAUGGGGGGAACCCUGAUCCAGCCAUGCCGCGUGUGUGAAGAGGGCCUUAUGGUUGUAAAGCACUUUAAGCGAGGAGGAGGCUACUGAGACUAAUACUCUUGGAUAGUGGACGUUACUCGCAGAAUAAGCACCGGCUAACUCUGUGCCAGCCGCCGCAGUAA
RNAcentral lists this ribosomal RNA (503 nucleotides) under uncultured bacterium. RNAcentral describes it as "partial 16S ribosomal RNA". It matches the Rfam family "Bacterial small subunit ribosomal RNA", at positions 30 to 523 of the family's 1533-position model. The record is from RNAcentral.